GCUGUCGUCAGCUCGUGUUGUGAAAUGUUGGGUUAAGUCCCGCAACGAGCGCAACCCUUAUCCUUUGUUGCCAGCGGUCCGGCCGGGAACUCAAAGGAGACUGCCAGUGAUAAACUGGAGGAAGGUGGGGAUGACGUCAAGUCAUCAUGGCCCUUACGACCAGGGCUACACACGUGCUACAAUGGCGCAUACAAAGAGAAGCGACCUCGCGAGAGCAAGCGGACCUCAUAAAGUGCGUCGUAGUCCGGAUUGGAGUCUGCAACUCGACUCCAUGAAGUCGGAAUCGCUAGUAAUCGUGGAUCAGA
RNAcentral lists this ribosomal RNA (305 nucleotides) under Escherichia coli. RNAcentral's name for it is "bacterial SSU rRNA". It matches the Rfam family "Bacterial small subunit ribosomal RNA", at positions 1048 to 1353 of the family's 1533-position model. Lineage: Bacteria; Pseudomonadati; Pseudomonadota; Gammaproteobacteria; Enterobacterales; Enterobacteriaceae. The record is from RNAcentral.